UACGUAGGGGGCAAGCGUUGUCCGGAUUUAUUGGGCGUAAAGAGCGUGUAGGCGGCCGUACAGGUCAGCUGUGAAAACUCGAGGCUCAACCUCGAGACGUCGGUUGAAACCGUACGGCUAGAGUCCGGAAGAGGAGAGUGGAAUUCCCGGUGUAGCGGUGAAAUGCGCAGAUAUCGGGAGGAACACCGGUGGCGAAGGCGGCUUCCUGGACCGACACUGACGCUGAGGCGCGAAAGCUAGGGGAGCAAACGGG
Molecule: ribosomal RNA, 253 nt
Filed under: uncultured bacterium
Lineage: Bacteria
Description: partial 16S ribosomal RNA
Rfam family: Bacterial small subunit ribosomal RNA
Source: RNAcentral